ACGAGAAGACCCCAUGGAGCUUUAAACCCGACAGCACCCACUUAUUUAACACCUUCUUAUCCGCCUGGCCCCUGUCUGCUCGGUUUUGGGUUGGGGUGACCGCGGAGCAUAAAAUAGCCUCCACGAAAGAAGGGAUGAUUCCCUCAUUUUAGAACUACACUUCCAAAGACUAACAAAUUAAUUUUAAGUGAUCCGAUACCCGUAUUCGAUCAACGAACCAAGUUACCCUGGGGAUAACAGCGCAAUCUACCUCAAGAGCCCCUAUCGACAGGUGGGUUUACGACCUCGAUGUUGGAUCAGGGUAUCCCAGUGGUGCAGCAGCUACCAAAGGUUCGUUUGUUCAACGAUUAAAACCCU
This 357-nucleotide ribosomal RNA is filed under the name Boophis reticulatus. Its description in RNAcentral is "partial 16S ribosomal RNA". It matches the Rfam family "Bacterial large subunit ribosomal RNA", at positions 2080 to 2597 of the family's 2925-position model. Lineage: Eukaryota; Metazoa; Chordata; Amphibia; Anura; Mantellidae. The record is from RNAcentral.